CGGGGCUGCUUAACAAAUGCAAGUCGAACGGGGUCCAUGCAGUGGCAACACUGCGGAAGACCGAGUGGCGAACGGGUGCGUAACACGUGAGGAACUUGCCCCGGUCUCUGGAAUAACAGUCGGAAACGACUGCUAAUACCGGAUGCCGUCGGAGGGCCGCAUGGCCCACUGACGAAAGGGUUACCGGAUCGGGAGAGCCUCGCGGCCUAUCAGCUUGUUGGUGAGGUAACGGCUCACCAAGGCAUCGACGGGUAGCUGGUCUGAGAGGAUGAUCAGCCACACUGGGACUGAGACACGGCCCAGACUCCUACGGGAGGCAGCAGUGGGGAAUCUUGCACAAUGGGCGAAGGCCUGAUGCAGCAACGCCGCGUGCGGGAAGAAGGCCUUAGGGUUGUAAACCGCUUUCAGCAGGAAAGAAACUGACGGUACCUGCAGAAGAAGGUGCGGCCAACUACGUGCCAGCAGCCGCGGUAAUAAUCU
This 480-nucleotide ribosomal RNA is filed under the name uncultured Ilumatobacter sp. RNAcentral describes it as "bacterial SSU rRNA". It matches the Rfam family "Bacterial small subunit ribosomal RNA", at positions 40 to 527 of the family's 1533-position model. Lineage: Bacteria; Bacillati; Actinomycetota; Acidimicrobiia; Acidimicrobiales; Ilumatobacteraceae. The record is from RNAcentral.